GCGCGCAUAGUCUAGUGGUAAGACAUCACCUUGCCAAGGUGGGGACACGGGUUCGAGUCCCGUUGUGCGCA
This 71-nucleotide transfer RNA is filed under the name archaeon CG2_30_31_98. Its description in RNAcentral is "tRNA-Gly". It matches the Rfam family "tRNA". From Rfam's summary of the family: Transfer RNA (tRNA) molecules are approximately 80 nucleotides in length. Their secondary structure includes four short double-helical elements and three loops (D, anti-codon, and T loops). RNAcentral also lists the same sequence under 2 other names. The record is from RNAcentral.